GGACUCUGGUGUGGUGCAGUGGUUAGCAUGUCAGAGUAGGACCUGGGAGACCAGGGUUCGAAUCCCUCCCUGGCCA
Molecule: non-coding RNA, 76 nt
Organism: Podarcis lilfordi (Lilford's wall lizard)
Lineage: Eukaryota; Metazoa; Chordata; Lepidosauria; Squamata; Lacertidae
Source: the annotation of a GenBank genome assembly